This 450-nucleotide ribosomal RNA is filed under the name uncultured bacterium. Its description in RNAcentral is "bacterial SSU rRNA". It matches the Rfam family "Bacterial small subunit ribosomal RNA", at positions 354 to 796 of the family's 1533-position model. The record is from RNAcentral.
GUGGGGAAUAUUGGACAAUGGGCGAAAGCCUGAUCCAGCCAUGCCGCGUGUGUGAAGAAGGUCUUCGGAUUGUAAAGCACUUUAAGUUGGGAGGAAGGGCAGUAAGUUAAUACCUUGCUGUUUUGACGUUACCGACAGAAUAAGCACCGGCUAACUUCGUGCCAGCAGCCGCGGUAAUACGAAGGGUGCAAGCGUUAAUCGGAAUUACUGGGCGUAAAGCGCGCGUAGGUGGUUUUGUAAGAUGGAGGUGAAAUCCCCGGGCUCAACCUGGGAACAUCCUCCAAAACUGCAUGACUAGAGUACGGUAGAGGGUAGUGGAAUUUCCUGUGUAGCGGUGAAAUGCGUAGAUAUAGGAAGGAACACCAGUGGCGAAGGCGACUACCUGGACUGAUACUGACACUGAGGUGCGAAAGCGUGGGGAGCAAACAGGAUUAGAAACCCCUGUAGUCC